Molecule: ribosomal RNA, 493 nt
Filed under: uncultured bacterium
Lineage: Bacteria
Description: partial 16S ribosomal RNA
Rfam family: Bacterial small subunit ribosomal RNA
Source: RNAcentral
ACGAACGCUGGCGGCGUGCUUAACACAUGCAAGUCGAACGGUGAAGCGCCUUCCUUUUUGGUGGGUGUGGAUGAGUGGCGAACGGGUGAGUAACACGUGAGCAACCUGCCCCCUUCUUCUGGAUAACCGCAUGAAAGUGUGGCUAAUACGGGAUAUUCUGGGUCUGUCGCAUGAUGGGUCUGGGAAAGAUAUUGUUUCGGUGGGGGAUGGGCUCGCGGCCUAUCAGCUUGUUGGUGGGGUGAUGGCCUACCAAGGCGGUGACGGGUAGCCGGCCUGAGAGGGUGGACGGUCACACUGGGACUGAGACACGGCCCAGACUCCUACGGGAGGCAGCAGUGGGGAAUAUUGCACAAUGGGCGCAAGCCUGAUGCAGCGACGCCGCGUGAGGGAUGGAGGCCUUCGGGUUGUGAACCUCUUUCGCCAGUGAAGCAGGCCUGCCUCGUUUGUGGGUGGGUUGACGGUAGCUGGAGAAGAAGCGCCGGCUAACUACGUG